This 496-nucleotide ribosomal RNA is filed under the name uncultured bacterium. RNAcentral describes it as "partial 16S ribosomal RNA". It matches the Rfam family "Bacterial small subunit ribosomal RNA", at positions 29 to 507 of the family's 1533-position model. The record is from RNAcentral.
AUGAACGCUGGCGGCGUGCCUAAUACCUGCAAGUCGAGCGAACAGAUGAGGAGCUUGCUCCUCUGACGUUAGCGGCGGACGGGUGAGUAACACGUGGAUAACCUACCUAUAAGACUGGGAUAACUUCGGGAAACCGGAGCUAAUACCGGAUAAUAUAUUGAACCGCAUGGUUCAAUAGUGAAAGACGGUUUUGCUGUCACUUAUAGAUGGAUCCGCGCCGCAUUAGCUAGUUGGUAAGGUAACGGCUUACCAAGGCAACGAUGCGUAGCCGACCUGAGAGGGUGAUCGGCCACACUGGAACUGAGACACGGUCCAGACUCCUACGGGAGGCAGCAGUAGGGAAUCUUCCGCAAUGGGGGAAAGCCUGACGGAGCAACGCCGCGUGAGUGAUGAAGGUCUUCGGAUCGUAAAACUCUGUUAUUAGGGAAGAACAAAUGUGUAAGUAACUAUGCACGUCUUGACGGUACCUAAUCAGAAAGCCACGGCUAACUACGUG